This 2922-nucleotide long non-coding RNA is filed under the name Medicago truncatula (barrel medic). RNAcentral's name for it is "long non-coding RNA (MTRU_LNC007849)". Lineage: Eukaryota; Viridiplantae; Streptophyta; Magnoliopsida; Fabales; Fabaceae. The record is from RNAcentral.
GGUGCUACUAUUAAACAUUGUCUUUUUGUUGUUUUAAGAUUUCUUUAAGUAUUUGCUGGCGUUUAAUGUGCAGAAAUCUUAUAAGCAUCUUGGAUGUUAGGGCAUAAGAUGCUUGGGGUUAAAAUUUGUGUUUUUUUAUACAAGAUUUCCAUAUUUUGUAUUACCUCUUAGAGUACUAGGCAUUGUUUGGCAAUAGUUUAUGCUACUUUCAAUUUCUAAAAAUACUUGUAUUAUUUAGGAGGUACAAAAGGAGUAAUGAUAAGUGCAUAAUAUAAUAUGAUCUUAAUUUUAGUGUAUCAUAUUAAGGAAACAAAUCGGUAGAAAUAAUGGGACAUUAAGAGAUCAUUUAUGUACUCUGAAAAAAUCUUAUAUACAAUAAUGAUAUCACGAGACUCUACAAAUUAGCACUUAAAUUAAGAUGAAGAUGGCCCGGAAAAACAUGAUUGAAAAGGCAACCCUAGGGUUCUAGAUGUAUCUUGAGGGACGAGUGUCAUUGGAGGAUAAGAAGAUAGCUUGAAUCAUCGUCAGGCUGAAGAGCUCGUAUAAUUGUUGCAUGACAGAGUAGAGUGGUACAUUUGCAUACUAUACAUGCAACUGGAAGAACAAGGAAAUACCUGAGCCAACUAAAAAGAAAACUCAACUGAUUAAGUAGGAAGUACACACUUGGUUUGACGAGUCUAAACCAAACAUGGCAAAGUGCAGCCCAAGGGAGCCAAACAGCUUGGUUCAAGGGGAACUAAGAAAGGUUGAAUCUGAUAGGAGACGCAAAGGAAAGACAGUGGGAGGCCACAGUGCCAAGAAGUGCGCAUCACACACUUUCUCACAUGACGAAGGUUAAACUUACAGUAUCCGGGAACCAUCACACCGUUGCUCCUGCUGCAACACGCCAUUACCUUAGUCACUUGGUGGGUUUUUUACACUAGAGAAGGGCGACACGAGCCCAAAUUAGCGGCAGACAUUGCGUGAUGUGAAAGCAGUGGGAUAGAGAAUCCAAUGGUUGAAGAAAAUAUGUUUUGAGGAUAGAUGGAAAGUAGAAGUGCAAAUUAGAGAUAGCAGUUUUUGAAGAAGAGAGAAAUGGGAGGGACAUUUUGAUGAUUAGGGUGGAUGCAGACAUUUUACUUGGAGGGCUUACCUAAAAGCAGACUUAUUGAAGAAAAUGAUUGAAGCUGGGAGAGUGUGCUACAAAAUGUCCACGUAGUGCACCUAUGAGAAGUGACUACAGAGCAAAACUGAAACAGAUCUCUGUUAUAUUUUUUAACAGAAGCUGGAUGAGUCCCACUAUAAUGGCUAGCAACAUAUAACAAAACGGACUAGAUUUCUUAGUUCUUACAGUACAAAGUCCACCAAGUUUGGGAGAGCCACGGGAAUUGGAAGAAAAUAAUCAUGGAGAUAACUAGAUCUUUACAACAGGGUAGGGCACUAGUUGGUGAAAUAGUGAUAGUGUAGCUAGGUCAUUGAGGAUGGUACCACAUUGAUAAUACAUCGUGUUGAAAUUAUAUAGUUAAAGCAAGGAAGGAAAAAAAGGGAGAGAAUAAUUUUUGAGAAAUGGGAUCUUAUGUAUUAUGAUGUGAUACCAGAUACGAAAUGCUUAUCUUUUUUAUGCUAGUACUAGAUUCUUAGUCUUGAUCAAAUCAGGAAAUAUACUGUGUCCGUGGCAUAUGGAUUCCAAUCUUAAGUUAUCAUUUAAGAUGCUCUAAACUAUUCUAAGAUACAAUAGUGAUGAUUUUAUUAGAUGUUUAUUUAUGUGCUAAUCAAUUCCCCAUGUUUUUUAUUCAGUUAUUAAUAUAUUACACUAAAUUAUACAUUUUCCUGUUGCUCUUAUACCAAGUCAUAAACCUAUAAUGAAGAGGAAAUUACACUCCCCCCUCUAAGAGAAACUUUAACUAGCAAGGUCUCAAAGUAGGACAAGUGAAGGCUGGGAGUUGUUAGUGUCACUCCCUAGCUAUGUGUUAUUUUGCUUGUGAUUUGCCUAGUCUGUUGAUUUUCAAUCAGUAGUUCUGCACAAUUUGUCAAGGGUAUGAGGGUUGGAAUGAUAAACAUCAUACUCCUGGGGGACUCCUAGUCCUUCUACUUUAAGUAACGUCAAUGCCUCAAUGGUGACAAUGGAACUUUGUGAAAACUUUUUUACUUGUAAAUACCAAGAAAAUACUAUCUAAAUAAACAGUAUUGAAGAAUAGGACAAAUAUAAUUUUAGGGAUUUUUUUGAUUAAACAUUAGUGGAACGGUGUAAAACAGUGAGGGGAGGUAAUUGAAGGUGUAAUUCUAAUUUAUCUUUUUAAUUAGAAUGAUUUUCUCAUUUUUCUAUAUAAUUUCUAAUCAAUUGGUAAAUUAAUUAUCAGUCCCUGACCACAAUCUGGCCAGUUUGGUAACCAUCCAGGUUUGCUCAAUAAUAUUCAUUCUUGUUUGGUCAAGUACUGUACUGUUACCAUAGCAGUAUAGUACUGUCAAAGUGCUCAAGAACAAUUAUGUCCUUAGGCAUCUAAGAUUCUCGUGAACUGGAAAAGGCACAUCUCAUCCCCCAGAAUGAACAUCUUAGCUGGAUAGAGGGUAGUAGGGCACUACGGUUUCUUUUAUUCCUCUAUUGACAUUAAUUAUAGUGUGUAGUGGAUUCUACAUAUCUCAUUCUGUCUAUCAUUCUUUUGUUGGUGCAAAAGUUGUAUUACGUGGUUACUUGAUACUAAUGAUUAGUUUUGCUACUGCAAUUUAAGGCACCUUUGGUUUUGGAUGACUUGUCUAUCAUUCUUUUGUUGGUGCAAAAGUUGUAUUACGUGGUUACUUGAUACUAAUGAUUAGUUUUGCUACUGCAAUUUAAGGCACCUUUGGUUUUGGAUGACUUGUCUACUGCAGGAAUGGGCUGAAACCUUUGGGGGUGUUUCUCUGCUGGAUGCCUUGUUCAAGGCCGUUGAUGAGGUGAGUUUCAUU